UAUGUCGUAGUCCGGAUUGGAGUCUGCAACUCGACUCCAUGAAGUCGGAAUCGCUAGUAAUCGUAGAUCAGAAUGCUACGGUGAAUACGUUCCCGGGCCUUGUACACACCGCCCGUCACACCAUGGGAGUGGGUUGCAAAAGAAGUAGGUAGCUUAACCUUCGGGAGGGCGCUUACCACUUUGUGAUUCAUGACUGGGGUGAAGUCGUAACAAGGUAACCGUAGGGGAACCUGCGGUUGGAUCACCUCCUUACCUAAAGAUAC
This 263-nucleotide ribosomal RNA is filed under the name Ewingella americana. Its description in RNAcentral is "partial 16S ribosomal RNA". It matches the Rfam family "Bacterial small subunit ribosomal RNA", at positions 1282 to 1533 of the family's 1533-position model. The record is from RNAcentral. Lineage: Bacteria; Pseudomonadati; Pseudomonadota; Gammaproteobacteria; Enterobacterales; Yersiniaceae.